GCCACCUCCAGGUGAUCUCAGGAUUUGGACUGAUCAACACCGGAGCCUUGACAGUGGCCUGUUUCAGCUGGGACGCUGCGUCCGUGUGCUGCUCAGUCCCUUCCCACUGAACACCCUUCUUGAGCAGCUGAUACAAGGGACCUGCAGUGGAAGCAAAAUUGGGAAUGAAAUCCCGGUGGAACCCAGUAAAACCCCAAAAGGAUCUUCACGCAGCUGGGUCCUCCGGUAACGGCAACUUUGGGAUUGCCUCCACCUUUUGCUGCGCUGCGGUUCGACCCAAUUUUGUCAAGGUUGUAUUCAUCUGGUUCUGGCCCCUCCACUGCGGAGACCAUCCUGCACUCAGGCAUGAUCACCAGCGGGGAAUCCAUUUCCUGUCCUGUAGUAAACCACAACAACUGAUUAGCCCUAUCAAUAACACAGCCCUGCCUGCCUGCACUGGAAAUCAGAUCGCAACGAGGUGCCAGCUGAAGGUGUGGGAGAACAAAGGAAUCAAGUGACCUCCUGGCCCGGGAAAGGGACAAAGCCCAGAGGAGGAGGGGCUGGAGAGUUUCAGUUUGGGGCUGGCUGGGGACGUGGAGUGAA
This is a long non-coding RNA of Malaclemys terrapin pileata, 582 nucleotides long. RefSeq lists it as uncharacterized. Lineage: Eukaryota; Metazoa; Chordata; Testudines; Emydidae. The record is from RefSeq and is a predicted model, not a curated record. The transcript is spliced from 3 exons.